This 520-nucleotide ribosomal RNA is filed under the name uncultured Glomus. RNAcentral's name for it is "SSU rRNA". It matches the Rfam family "Eukaryotic small subunit ribosomal RNA", at positions 569 to 1090 of the family's 1831-position model. The record is from RNAcentral. Lineage: Eukaryota; Fungi; Glomeromycota; Glomeromycetes; Glomerales; Glomeraceae.
AGCAGCCGCGGUAAUUCCAGCUCCAAUAGCGUAUAUUAAAGUUGUUGCAGUUAAAAAGCUCGUAGUUGAAUUUCGGGGUUAGUAGGUUGGUCAUGCCUCUGGUAUGUACUGGUCUCACUGAUUCCUCCUUCCUGAUGAACCUUAAUGCCAUUAAUUUGGUGUUUUGGGGAAUUUGGACUGUUACUUUGAAAAAAUUAGAGUGUUUAAAGCAAGCUAACGCUUGAAUACAUUAGCAUGGAAUAAUGAAAUAGGACGUUCGAUCCUAUUUUGUUGGUUUCUAGGAUUGGCGUAAUGAUUAAUAGGGAUAGUUGGGGGCAUUAGUAUUCAAUUGUCAGAGGUGAAAUUCUUGGAUUUAUUGAAGACUAACUACUGCGAAAGCAUUUGCCAAGGAUGUUUUCAUUAAUCAAGAACGAAAGUUAGGGGAUCGAAGACGAUCAGAUACCGUCGUAGUCUUAACCAUAAACUAUGCCGACUAGGGAUCGGAUGAUGUUAAUUUUUUAAUGACUCAUUCGGCGCCUUA